Non-coding RNA from Pelobates cultripes (western spadefoot toad), 669 nucleotides. NCBI's taxonomy places the organism in Eukaryota, Metazoa, Chordata, Amphibia, Anura, Pelobatidae. The record is from the annotation of a GenBank genome assembly.
GUGUGACACAGCUGGACAUAGGCGACUCUGUAAUUAGGCGAUUUAUGCGUCCACUUAAGGCCUCAAAUUCACUGGGCCUCAUGGCCACAUAACUCUACUAACUGGAGAACAAGGCUUGUAGCAUGGGGCAGGAAGCGUAGGGUCACCACCGGAGGGAUGACAACUAUUAGGAGGUGCGAGGAGCAACAGCAGCCAGAUGACCCUUGUACUGCUCCAGAUUCAGGAGAGGGAAAGGGAGCAAAAGCAUAUUGGAAGAUGGGAGAGGGGUAAGAGGGAGAUGGAGCUGAGAGGAGAGAGGAAGAUAGAGCUUGGGGGAGUGACAGAGAUAGAGCUGGGUGGUAGAGAGAAAGAGAGAGCUGGGGGACAGAGAAAGGGAGCUGGAGUGAGAGGGAGAUGGAGUGGAGGUAGAGAGGGAGAUGGAACUGGGGGGAGAGAAGGAGAUGGAAUUGGAGAGAGAGGGAGAUGGAGCAUCACUUUCUGUGGUUAGAGUUUAGUGCCCAUCUAUCUUUGUACUUAGCCACCACUGAGGUCCAAUACUAUUCUCAUAUCACUGACAAUGAGCUGUGGGAAUUGUAGUCCAACACAAUUUGAGGUGUUGCAAUGUGACUCUGUUGUAAGAGAUUUUAAGGAUUAACUGACUCCUCUGUUAACCAUCAAGUUACAUUUCUG